Molecule: ribosomal RNA, 459 nt
Filed under: uncultured bacterium
Lineage: Bacteria
Description: partial 16S ribosomal RNA
Rfam family: Bacterial small subunit ribosomal RNA
Source: RNAcentral
CCUACGGGUGGCAGCAGUGAGGAAUAUUGGUCAAUGGUCGGGAGACUGAACCAGCCAAGCCGCGUGAGGGAUGAAGGUACAGAGUAUCGUAAACCUCUUUUGUCAGGGGACAAAAUCGGGGACGUGUGCCCGGCUGAGUGUACCUGAAGAAAAAGCAUCGGCUAACUCCGUGCCAGCAGCCGCGGUAAUACGGAGGAUGCGAGCGUUAUCCGGAUUUAUUGGGUUUAAAGGGUGCGCAGGCGGUCUGUUAAGUCAGCGGUCAAAGCCCGGGGCUCAACCCCGGCCCGCCGUUGAAACUGGCAGUCUUGAGUUGGCGAGAAGUAUGCGGAAUGCGCGGUGUAGCGGUGAAAUGCAUAGAUAUUGCGCAGAACUCCGAUUGCGAAGGCAGCAUGCCGGCUCCAAACUGACGCUGAGGCACGAAAGCGUGGGUAUCGAACAGGAUUAGAUACCCCAGUAGUC